UUUGUGUCUCUUCAGGAGGGGAGGUAGAUGGCGAGGUGGACCAGGAGGAAGAAAUAGUGCAGCCAAGGGUGACCUUGAAGAAUUGGGAUCCUGUGAAAUUGAUGAAGGAGAUAUAUAGAAUAAAACUUGAACCUCAGGAGGAUGAAGACCUUGCCACCAAGUUCAUUACCAUGGAAGGUUACAUGGAGAAAUUACCCAUGGGAAAGAAAAAAGCUACAUUGCUUAAAACAUGGAAGAAAAGAUACUUCCGAGCCAAAGAAGGAAAUUUGUUCUA
This is a long non-coding RNA of Lingula anatina, 274 nucleotides long. The record is from RefSeq and is a predicted model, not a curated record. NCBI's taxonomy places the organism in Eukaryota, Metazoa, Brachiopoda, Lingulata, Lingulida, Lingulidae.